This 274-nucleotide ribosomal RNA is filed under the name uncultured bacterium. RNAcentral's name for it is "partial 16S ribosomal RNA". It matches the Rfam family "Bacterial small subunit ribosomal RNA", at positions 523 to 796 of the family's 1533-position model. The record is from RNAcentral.
AUACGGAGGGUGCAAGCGUUAAUCGGAAUUACUGGGCGUAAAGGGCGCGUAGGCGGUCUAUCAAGUCAGGUGUGAAAUCUCACGGCUCAACCGUGGAGGUGCAUCUGAAACUGAUAGACUUGAGUAUGGGAGAGGAAAGUGGAAUUCCCGGUGUAGAGGUGAAAUUCGUAGAUAUCGGGAGGAACACCAGUGGCGAAGGCGACUUUCUGGACCAAUACUGACGCUGAGGCGCGAAAGCGUGGGGAGCAAACAGGAUUAGAAACCCUAGUAGUCC